This 28-nucleotide non-coding RNA is filed under the name Homo sapiens (human). The record is from RNAcentral. Lineage: Eukaryota; Metazoa; Chordata; Mammalia; Primates; Hominidae.
UCAGUCAGAGAGCUUCAGCACUGUGCCA